RNAcentral lists this ribosomal RNA (468 nucleotides) under uncultured bacterium. RNAcentral describes it as "partial 16S ribosomal RNA". It matches the Rfam family "Bacterial small subunit ribosomal RNA", at positions 28 to 507 of the family's 1533-position model. The record is from RNAcentral.
GACGAACGCUGGCGGCGCGCCUAACACAUGCAAGUCGAACGGAGUCACGAGGAGCUUGCUUUUCUUGACUUAGUGGCGAACGGGUGAGUAACGCGUGAGUAACCUGCCCUGGAGUGGGGGACAACAGUUGGAAACGACUGCUAAUACCGCAUAAGCCCACGGAUCCGCAUGGAUCUGCGGGAAAAGGAUUUAUUCGCUUCAGGAUGGACUCGCGUCCAAUUAGCUAGUUGGUGAGGUAACGGCCCACCAAGGCGACGAUUGGUAGCCGGACUGAGAGGUUGAACGGCCACAUUGGGACUGAGACACGGCCCAGACUCCUACGGGAGGCAGCAGUGGGGGAUAUUGCACAAUGGGGGAAACCCUGAUGCAGCGACGCCGCGUGGAGGAAGAAGGUUUUCGGAUUGUAAACUCCUGUCGUUAGGGACGAUAAUGACGGUACCUAACAAGAAAGCACCGGCUAACUACGUG